GAUGAACGCUGGCGGCGUGCCUAAUACAUGCAAGUAGAACGCUGAAGGAGGAGCUUGCUCUUCUGGAUGAGUUGCGAACGGGUGAGUAACGCGUAGGUAACCUGCCUGGUAGCGGGGGAUAACUAUUGGAAACGAUAGCUAAUACCGCAUGACAACAGUUAUUGCAUGAUAACUGUUUAAAAGGGGCAACUGCUCCACUACCAGAUGGAGCUGCGUUGUAUUAGCUAGUUGGUGAGGUAACGGCUCACCAAGGCGACGAUACAUACCCGACCGGAGAGGGGGACGGCCAAAACGGGACCGGAAACACGCCCAGGACUCCAAGGGAGGCAACCAGAGGGGAACUUCGGACAUGGGCGGAAGGCCUAACGCAGAAAGCCCGGGGAGUGGAGGAAGUUUUCGGAUCGUAAAACUCUGUUGUAAGGGAAGAAAGAGUGUGAGAGUGAAAAGUUCACGCUGUGACGGUACCUAACCAGAAAGCGACGGCUAACUACGUG
Molecule: ribosomal RNA, 494 nt
Filed under: uncultured bacterium
Lineage: Bacteria
Description: partial 16S ribosomal RNA
Rfam family: Bacterial small subunit ribosomal RNA
Source: RNAcentral